Toxorhynchites rutilus septentrionalis is the source of this 2879-nucleotide long non-coding RNA. RefSeq lists it as uncharacterized. The transcript has 4 exons. The record is from RefSeq and is a predicted model, not a curated record. NCBI's taxonomy places the organism in Eukaryota, Metazoa, Arthropoda, Insecta, Diptera, Culicidae.
CCGAAGGAAAUCAAUAAAUUUCUUUAUUUGUGAUUCUUCUUAACUCAAGCGAACAGAAAGAAAAACAAAAGUGCUUAGUUUUGCAAAUAGCAUCAAAUUGUAGGUAUGCGCAACUUUUAAAAACUACAAUGGAAUCAAAAAGGGCAACUUUGAAAUACAGUUUGCACCUUUAUAUAAAAAUGCACACAUCUGGCAUUCUUGAUUGAUUUGUUUUUCUAAAAUGCUACAGCUCUUAUCCGCUAUGACAAAUGUACAUUCUUGAUGUCAGGUGUCAUCAUUCGAAAUUGAAAGAAAAAUUACUCUAUUGGAUGAGCAUAUCCGAAAACAGUUUUAAAUUGUUAUAACUUGAAUCGAAAUGUUCAUUAAUUGUCAUUUGAUUAUUCAAAGAACUUAGAACUGCACCUCACUUAACCUGUUUAGUAUACAUUACCUGAUAUUUCUACCAAGGCGCCUCUAUAUAUACCAGGUGAAGCAAUCAUAUGAAAUGCAUUUUCAGCCAUAUUAGAAUUGCUGUCGGUAUUGUUUACAAAUAGCAUCAGAACGCUGCCAGCGACUCCCUACAAACUGCUACGAUGCUUAUUCGAACGAUGCCUAUUAUGUUCGGCAUUCGCGAAUUUAUGUGAAAAAGCAGGAUGGUUUUGUAGAAUUUCAUUCUCAUUUCCACUACUCUCGGCGUAUCCUACCUACAAAACAAACAACCCCCGCUCCACAAACCGUAAUCCACAUCUUAUUGAAGUGAUGAUGUUGCUUCACCUGUUAUACAUCGAUAUAAGCGCCUUGGGCGCCUCUAUAUAUACAUUGACAUAAGCGCCUUGGUUUCUACCAAGGCGUUAUACUAUAGGUGGACCGCAAUGUCAAAAUUGCUGUUCGUCCAUUGCUCGUGAAAAAACCAAUUUGUUUACAAAACAAAUCAUAUCUUUUGGUUACAAAUGCAUUCGUUGGCAAAAUAGCUGCUCGCGCUUUACUGUAGGCAGAUAUCUACAAUCAGCGGUCGAAUUAAAAACAGUGCAGAAGGAUGUUUUGAGCAGGAACCUUGUUCCGUUUAUGUUGCUGAGCUGGCAGCAAUCGACUUCGCAUUGGGGAUGAUCUCCAACAAGCCUGCAGACCAUUACUUCAUUUUCUCGGAUAGUCUCAGUUCGCUUGAGGCUCUCCAGUCGAUGAGAACUAGUAGGCACCCAUCUUAUUUCCUCACAAAAGUGAGGCUGCAGAUGAGUGCACUGAUCGAAAGAUCUUAUAAGAUAACCUUUGUAUGGGUCCCCUCUCAUUGCUCAAUUCCUGGCAAUGAGAAGGCGGACACUCUAGCAAAGGUGGGUGCCCAGGAAGGCGAAUUGUUUGAUAGACAGAUUUCAUACGAUGAAUUUUUCCAAUUACUGCGUCAGAGUUCCCUCUUGAGUUGGCAAACCGAUUGGGACACUGGAAGUCUUGGGCGGUGGUUAUAUUCAAUUAUUCCAAAGGUUUCUUCGAGAGCGUGGUUCAAAGGUUUGGACGUAAGUCGUGACUUCAUUCGUGUAAUGAGUAGACUUAUGUCCAACCACUACUCGCUAGAUGUGCACCUCCACAGAAUAAAUCUUGUUCAAAACAAUGUCUGUCGGUGUGAAAACGGUUACGAUGACAUCGAUCACGCAGUUUGGCAAUGUACGGAUAAUUACGCAGCCAGAGAGUACCUUUUGAAUGCCCUUGAGGUCCAAGGAAGACAACCCUAUGUUCCUGUUAGAGACGUGUUGGGAACUCGCGACAUCUGCUAUAUCAGUUGAUCUAUAUGUUUGUGAAACGGUCUAGUAUAAGAAUUUAAUGCUUUUGUGUUUUUUUUCUUUUUCGUUAUUAGUUUGUUUGUAUUGUCCCCUCAUCUCACCGUCGCCCACCCUCGACAGCUAGUCGAACACCAGAUGCUAUCCCUGGUCAUUAUGCACAAUGCUACAGUGCGUGCGGCAACCCUCGGUUGAGACAAUGAUACCUCAUAUCCAUAUCCCUAACCUGACCCGUCCCACAAAAAUUGUUGCCCCUCUAACCUCGAGUAAACCGCGAGUAAUCGGUCGAAACCUACUAAACAUAGAUUUAAGAUGAAAUUUUUGUAUAAACAAAACUUGAGUUAGCGGCUCCGCAAAGCUUAUGCGAUUGAGCCUUACAAAUAAACGAAUUGGAAAAAAAAAGGAUGUUUUGAGUAUAUUUUACCUUCUAGCCGCGCAAUCAAUGCUUUUCUUUCCAAGCAAGCAGCGUUUUAAUCGGCAAAACCAUGAAAUAGAAUCGUACGUGGUACGAGUUUAUCGGCACAAUCUGAUCAAGGACGGAGGCAUCAUCAAACGGAAACUAUGCGAGAAACUUUUCGAAGAGAUAAAACUGCGCCGCAACACUCGUGUCAAAAUGGGUGCUGAUGAACCACGAUUUGAUAACACGUAAUGAGCCAAUCCAACAGCAUGCCAAUGGUAAUCGACCAAAUCAUUUUAAAUUCAACAUGGAGCGGUUGCGAAACCUACAAUCACGCUGAGUUGACUUCCAAAAAGCAAAACAAAUUCCUGCGUAUGCUGGAUGCAAUUUUACAAAACAACAAAGUUUUGAAGGAAAUUAAAGAGAUGGUAGUGGCGAAUCGACUUCUAUCGGAAAUUCGUUAUGUGACUGCGGUGGAACGUAUGCUGAAACACAAUUUGGACCCCUCUUUGCGCUGCUGCUUUGUAUGUCGAGAGUAUUUCCGCAUUGCCGAUGAGUAUACCAGUCAUUUCGAAAAAUUGCACGGUGAGAAAUUUCUUAUUGUUGCGACGGUGGAUCAAUUUCAGACUAGUCAAAAGUUCAACGUUCUACAUCACUACAAUGCCCUUAAUCCGGUGACAAUAUUCACGAUUUGCAACGUAUACCACACAGCCCUAAUAAAAAAAACAAGAAAA